Piliocolobus tephrosceles (Ugandan red Colobus) is the source of this 632-nucleotide long non-coding RNA. RefSeq lists it as uncharacterized. Lineage: Eukaryota; Metazoa; Chordata; Mammalia; Primates; Cercopithecidae. The transcript has 2 exons. The record is from RefSeq and is a predicted model, not a curated record.
GAACAAACUCCGGACACAUCAUCUUUAAGAACUGUAACACUCACUGUGCAGGUCCGUAGCUUCAUUCUUGAAGUCAGUGAGACCAAGAACACACCGGAAGGAACCAAUUCUGGACACAUUUUGGUUACCGCAAAGGGACUAUCGCCUAUCACCAAGUGUUAAGGUGGCAGGAGUGGAAUCUUGGAUUCACCACACCCGAGUUAAAUUUUGGAUAUCCCCUGAGGAACCUGUGGGACCAUCAGCUCAGGAGUCCCAAGAUCAGCCAGACCAACCUCAAUACACCUGAGAACCAUUGGAGGACUUGCGUCUCCUAUUUUGGAAGGAAACAUCCCAGACUAAAAAGGCUCCUACCGCUGAUCCUGAAGAAAAACCCCUUCCUCCUUAAAAAAGAUAAGUGAAAACCUACAUAAUCUUUAACAUCUCUCCUUGCUCCUUUAAUGGAAUCCUUUUACUAUUUCAUCAUAUUAUUAAACAGCAUACUAACCAUACUCUUCAUGAUAGGACUAUAUACUGUAGCUCCUGCCAGGAUGACAAUAAAAUAGAACACAGGGAGUCACUCUGUUUGCUGCCAACACCCCUUUCCAGACACUCACCGGAGUUAGCUUGGCAAGUACUCUAGAAGUAUGAAAAAA